AGUUAAUGAACUUGUAUAAGUAUAUAUUUUGAAAAUAUAAAAAAAGGUAAUAAACCUUAUUGACUU
This 66-nucleotide transfer RNA is filed under the name Luciola curtithorax. RNAcentral describes it as "tRNA-Ser". Lineage: Eukaryota; Metazoa; Arthropoda; Insecta; Coleoptera; Lampyridae. The record is from RNAcentral.